GUCGUCAGCUCGUGUCGUGAGAUGUUGGUUAAGUCCCGCAACGAGCGCAACCCUUAUCAUUAGUUGCUACGCAAGGGCACCCUAAUGAGACUGCCGGUGGACAAAACCGGAGGAAGGUGGGGGAUGACGUCAAGUCCUCAUGGCCCUUAUGGGUAGGGCUUCACACGUCAUACAAUGGUCGGUACAGAGGGUUGCCAAGCCGCGAGGCGGAGCCAAUCCCACAAAGCCGAUCGUAGUCCGGAUUGUUCUCUGCAACUCGAGAGCAUGAAGUCGGAAUCGCUAGUAAUCGCAGGUCAGCAUACUGCGGUGAAUACGUUCCCGGGUCUU
Molecule: ribosomal RNA, 327 nt
Filed under: uncultured Thiobacillus sp.
Lineage: Bacteria; Pseudomonadati; Pseudomonadota; Betaproteobacteria; Nitrosomonadales; Thiobacillaceae
Description: bacterial SSU rRNA
Rfam family: Bacterial small subunit ribosomal RNA
Source: RNAcentral